RNAcentral lists this long non-coding RNA (751 nucleotides) under Trifolium pratense (red clover). RNAcentral's name for it is "long non-coding RNA (TPRA_LNC007169)". The record is from RNAcentral. Lineage: Eukaryota; Viridiplantae; Streptophyta; Magnoliopsida; Fabales; Fabaceae.
CGGUCAGACCGUGAGCCGGACAUCAAUCCGGUCCGGUUAAGCUUAAAAACCGGGGAGUACGCGAACCGGAAAAAAAAACCGGGCGAACUAUUAUUAUUAUUAUUAUUAUUAAAUAUAAAAUCAAACAAAGGAAGAGAAACAAACAAAAUCGUCAUCAAUUAUUAAUAUUAUUUUUUAAAUGAAAAAGAUCAAAUCAAACACACCAGGAACAUAACUCUGUUUCCACUAUGUUUCAACAAAACGUGAAAGUCUUCCCCUUCUUCUUAAUUUCUUCCAACAAGAUUUUAAUCUCAGGUAUUAACUUUCAAUUGAAGCAGCAAGAAUAUGUAUAGAUUAGAUGGGUGAAAAACUAUUUUGUUGAACUUGAAAAGUCAAGAUUUGUGACCCAUGAUUAGUGGAAUAUUGGUGCUAUAUGAGUUUUGGAGGUUUGAGCUUAUAAGAUGUAUUGCUAUAAGAUGUAAAAAAAUAAGAAAUAAAAAAGUUGGAAGAAGAAGAAGAAUAGAUGUAGAGAGAUUUGGAAUUGAGUAGGUGGCUGUUGCCUGCUAGUGUCUAUCUCAAACAUUGUAAAGUAAAGUUAUUGUAAUUUAUAAAUUAGGGUUUAAUGAUGGAUCCAUGGUUGGGCUUACAAGAGAAGCCCAUAUCAAUUUUUUGUUUAACUUAUUUUACAUUAUUAGUUAUUAAAAAAAACUUAUAAUUUGUAAAAUAAAAAAAGACUUUAGUGUGUCAACUUUUAUAUAUAUAUAUAUAUAUA